RNAcentral lists this ribosomal RNA (447 nucleotides) under uncultured bacterium. Its description in RNAcentral is "bacterial SSU rRNA". It matches the Rfam family "Bacterial small subunit ribosomal RNA", at positions 355 to 825 of the family's 1533-position model. The record is from RNAcentral.
UCGGGAAUUUUGGGCAAUGGGCGAAAGCCUGACCCAGCAACGCCGCGUGAAGGAUGAAGUAUUUCGGUAUGUAAACUUCGAAAGAAUAGGAAGAAUAAAUGACGGUACUAUUUAUAAGGUCCGGCUAACUACGUGCCAGCAGCCGCGGUAAUACGUAGGGUGCGAGCGUUAAUCGGAAUUACUGGGCGUAAAGCGUGCGCAGGCGGUUCUAUAAGACAGAUGUGAAAUCCCCGGGCUCAACCUGGGAAUGGCAUUUGUGACUGUAGAGCUAGAGUACGGUAGAGGGGGAUGGAAUUCCGCGUGUAGCAGUGAAAUGCGUAGAGAUUUGGAGGAAUACCAGUGGCGAAGGCGGCCCCCUGGCACAACACUGACGCUCAGGUGCGAAAGCGUGGGGAGCAAACAGGAUUAGAUACCCGUGUAGUCCCUGAGCGGGCUGGCAAGGCGCAU